GGACUACCGGGGUAUCUAAUCCCGUUCGCUCCCCUAGCUUUCGCGCCUCAGCGUCAGAAGAGGUCCAGCACGUCGCUUUCGCCACCGGCGUUCCUUCCGAUAUCUACGCAUUUCACCGCUCCACCGGAAGUUCCACAUGCCCCUACCUCCCUCGAGAUCAUCAGUAUCAAAGGCACUUCUCCAGUUGAGCUGGAGGCUUUCACCCCUGACUUGACAACCCGCCUACGCGCCCUUUAAGCCCAGUGAAUCCGAACAACGUUCGCACGGUUCGUCUUACCGCGGCUGCUGGCAC
RNAcentral lists this ribosomal RNA (292 nucleotides) under uncultured Planctomycetota bacterium. RNAcentral describes it as "uncultured planctomycete partial 16S ribosomal RNA". Lineage: Bacteria; Pseudomonadati; Planctomycetota. The record is from RNAcentral.